GCCGCCUUAGCUCAGUUGGCAGAGCACGGUUCUUGUAAAACCGGUUGCGUCGGUUCGAUCCCGACAGGCGGCU
RNAcentral lists this transfer RNA (73 nucleotides) under Nocardioides caeni. RNAcentral's name for it is "Nocardioides sp. MN8 tRNA". It matches the Rfam family "tRNA". Rfam says of the family: Transfer RNA (tRNA) molecules are approximately 80 nucleotides in length. Lineage: Bacteria; Bacillati; Actinomycetota; Actinomycetes; Propionibacteriales; Nocardioidaceae. The record is from Rfam by way of RNAcentral.